RNAcentral lists this ribosomal RNA (340 nucleotides) under uncultured bacterium. RNAcentral describes it as "bacterial SSU rRNA". It matches the Rfam family "Bacterial small subunit ribosomal RNA", at positions 527 to 866 of the family's 1533-position model. The record is from RNAcentral.
GUAGGGGGCAAGCGUUGUCCGGAAUUAUUGGGCGUAAAGGGCGCGUAGGCGGAUAUUUAAGUCCGGUGUGAAAGAUCAGGGCUCAACCCUGAGAGUGCAUCGGAAACUGGAUAUCUUGAGGACAGGAGAGGAAAGUGGAAUUCCUAGUGUAGCGGUGAAAUGCGUAGAUAUUAGGAGGAACACCAGUGGCGAAGGCGACUUUCUGGACUGUAACUGACGCUGAGGCGCGAAAGCGUGGGGAGCAAACAGGAUUAGAUACCCUGGUAGUCCACGCUGUAAACGAUGAGUGCUAGGUGUAGAGGUAUCGACCCCUUCUGUGCCGCAGUUAACACAAUAAGCA